GACGAACGCUGGCGGCGUGCCUAACACAUGCAAGUCGAGCGGGGUUGAAGCGAGGGGUAACUCGGACUUCUACCUAGCGGCGGACGGGUGAGUAACACGUGGGCAACCUGCCUCAUAGAGGGGAAUAGCCUCCCGAAAGGGAGAUUAAUACCGCAUAAGAUUGUAGCUUCGCAUGAAGUAGCAAUUAAAGGAGCAAUCCGCUAUGAGAUGGGCCCGCGGCGCAUUAGCUAAUUGGUGAGGUAACAACUCACCAAGGCGACGAUGCGUAGCCGACCUGAGAGGGUGAUCGGCCACAUUGGGACUGAGACACGGCCCAGACUCCUACGGGAGGCAGCAGUGGGGAAUAUUGCACAAUGGGGAAAACCCUGAUGCAGCAACGCCGCGUGAGUGAUGACGGCCUUCGGUUGUAAGCUCUGUCUUCAGGACGGAUAAUGACGGUACCGUGAGGAGGAAGACCACGGCUAACUACGUGCCAGCAGCCGCGGU
Molecule: ribosomal RNA, 486 nt
Filed under: uncultured bacterium
Lineage: Bacteria
Description: bacterial SSU rRNA
Rfam family: Bacterial small subunit ribosomal RNA
Source: RNAcentral